This 402-nucleotide ribosomal RNA is filed under the name uncultured bacterium. RNAcentral describes it as "bacterial SSU rRNA". It matches the Rfam family "Bacterial small subunit ribosomal RNA", at positions 29 to 432 of the family's 1533-position model. The record is from RNAcentral.
AUUGAACGCUGGCGGCAUGCCUAACACAUGCAAGUCGAACGGUAACAGGCCCUUCGGGCGCUGACGAGUGGCGGACGGGUGAGUAAUGCUUAGGAAUCUGCCUAGUAGUGGGGGAUAACCCGGGGAAACUCGGGCUAAUACCGCAUACGUCCUACGGGAGAAAGCGGGGGACCUUCGGGCCUCGCGCUAUUAGAUGAGCCUAAGUCCGAUUAGCUAGUUGGUAGGGUAACGGCCUACCAAGGCGACGAUCGGUAGCUGGUCUGAGAGGACGACCAGCCACACUGGGACUGAGACACGGCCCAGACUCCUACGGGAGGGCAGCAGUGGGGAAUAUUGGACAAUGGGCGCAAGCCUGAUCCAGCGAUGCCGCGUGUGUGAAGAAGGCCUGCGGGUUGUAAAGCA